AGUGAACGCUGGCGGUAGGCCUAACACAUGCAAGUCGAACGGCCGCACAGUAAGAGCUUGCUCUUACGGGUGGCGAGUGGCGGACGGGUGAGGAAUACAUCGGAAUCUACUUUUUCGUGGGGGAUAACGUAGGGAAACUUACGCUAAUACCGCAUACGACCUACGGGUGAAAGCAGGGGAUCUUCGGACCUUGCGCGAUUGAAUGAGCCGAUGUCGGAUUAGCUAGUUGGCGGGGUAAAGGCCCACCAAGGCGACGAUCCGUAGCUGGUCUGAGAGGAUGAUCAGCCACACUGGAACUGAGACACGGUCCAGACUCCUACGGGAGGCAGCAGUGGGGAAUAUUGGACAAUGGGCGCAAGCCUGAUCCAGCCAUACCGCGUGGGUGAAGAAGGCCUUCGGGUUGUAAAGCCCUUUUGUUGGGAAAGAAAAGCAGCAUGUUAAUACCCCACUGUUCUGACGGUACCCAAAGAAUAAGCACCGGCUAACUUCGUG
RNAcentral lists this ribosomal RNA (492 nucleotides) under uncultured bacterium. RNAcentral describes it as "partial 16S ribosomal RNA". It matches the Rfam family "Bacterial small subunit ribosomal RNA", at positions 29 to 507 of the family's 1533-position model. The record is from RNAcentral.